AUGGUAGGAUAGAGGCCUACCGUGGUGGUAACGGGUAACGGGGUGUUAGGGCACGACACCGGAGAGGGAGCCUGAGAAACGGCUACCACAUCCNAGGAUGGCAGCAGGCGCGCAAAUUACCCAAUCCCGACACGGGGAGGUAGUGACAAUAAAUAACAAUACGGGGUCCUUUAGGAUCUCGUAAUUGGAAUGAGUACAAUUUAAAUCUCUUAACGAGGAACAAUUGGAGGGCAAGUCUGGUGCCAGCAGCCGCGGUAAUUCCAGCUCCAAUAGCGUAUAUNAAAGUUGUUGCAGUUAAAAAGCUCGUAGUUGAAUUUCGGGGUCAGUAGGUCGGUCGUGCCACUGGUAUGAACUGGUUUUACUGAUUCCUCCCUCUNGAAGAACUGUAAUGCCAUUAAUUUGGUGUUGCAGGGAAUCAGGACUGUUACUUUGAAAAAAUUAGAGUGUUUAAAGCAGGCUUUAGCUUGAAUACAUUAGCAUGGAAUAAUGAAAUAGGACGUUUGAUCCUAUUUUGUUGGUUUCUAGGAUUGACGUAAUGAUUAAUAGGGAUAGUUGGGGGCAUUAGUAUUCAAUUGUCAGAGGUGAAAUUCUUGGAUUUAUUGAAGACUAACUACUGCGAAAGCAUUUGCCAAGGAUGUUUUCAUUAAUCAAGAACGAAAGUUAGGGGAUCGAAGACGAUCAGAUACCGUCGUAGUCUUAACCAUAAACUAUGCCGACGAGGGAUUGGAUGAUGUUAAUUUUUUAAUGACUCANUCGGCGCCUUACGGGAAACCAAAGUGUUUGGG
RNAcentral lists this ribosomal RNA (785 nucleotides) under uncultured Glomus. Its description in RNAcentral is "SSU rRNA". It matches the Rfam family "Eukaryotic small subunit ribosomal RNA", at positions 325 to 1111 of the family's 1831-position model. The record is from RNAcentral. Lineage: Eukaryota; Fungi; Glomeromycota; Glomeromycetes; Glomerales; Glomeraceae.